GGUACUGAUAUUUAUUGUGUUCACAGGCCUGUCUUCCAUUGAAGUGAAGUCUGCUCCGAUGACAUACUGCUGUAGGGAAAUCUCUCUGGGUAAGAGCCCAUACCCUAAUGUUGUGGUGGACACCCGGUUCUACAAGAUUAUCAAAGAUGGGAUGCCACAUGUCUCAUGACCAGACUUUGCCCUUCCAGAGAUGUACACUAUAAUGGAGAUGUGCUAGAACCUGGAGCCAAUAGUGUGUCUAAACUUCAGUAACAUUGGUCAGCUUAUCCAGAGGCUACUGCUUGACCAGCCAGACCAGUCCUCCCGGUUUUGACCCUUGCCUGUAUUCUGGACUCUGUGCCCGCCUGCCUGACCGCCGACCUGUACCUCUGCCUUCCUCUGGAUUACCGACCUCUGCCUGCCUUGACCUGUCUUCUGCUUG
Salvelinus namaycush (lake trout) is the source of this 421-nucleotide long non-coding RNA. RefSeq lists it as uncharacterized. NCBI's taxonomy places the organism in Eukaryota, Metazoa, Chordata, Actinopteri, Salmoniformes, Salmonidae. The transcript has 4 exons. The record is from RefSeq and is a predicted model, not a curated record.